GCUGGGCGUGGUGGCUCACGCCUGUAAUCCAAGCACUUUGGAGGCCAAGGCGGGCGGAUCACCUGAGGUCGGGAGUUCAAGACCAGCCUGACCAACAUGGUGAAACCCUAUUUAAAAAAAAAAAUCCAAUUGGCUAAUAACUUACAACUUCUCUUUGCUUUUUUUUUUUAAAGCUGGGGUUUCACCAUGAUGGCCGGGCUGGUCUUGAACUCCUGACCUCAGGUGAUCCACCCACCUC
Molecule: small RNA, 238 nt
Filed under: Callithrix jacchus (white-tufted-ear marmoset)
Lineage: Eukaryota; Metazoa; Chordata; Mammalia; Primates; Cebidae
Description: Metazoan signal recognition particle RNA (ENSCJAG00000055764.2)
Source: RNAcentral